RNAcentral lists this ribosomal RNA (432 nucleotides) under uncultured bacterium. Its description in RNAcentral is "partial 16S ribosomal RNA". It matches the Rfam family "Bacterial small subunit ribosomal RNA", at positions 29 to 506 of the family's 1533-position model. The record is from RNAcentral.
AACGAACGCUGGCGGCAUGCCUAACACAUGCAAGUCGAACGAGACCUUCGGGUCUAGUGGCGCACGGGUGCGUAACGCGUGGGAACCUGCCCUUAGGUUCGGAAUAACUCCCCGAAAGGGGUGCUAAUACCGGAUAAUGUCUUCGGACCAAAGAUUUAUCGCCUUUGGAUGGGCCCGCGUUGGAUUAGCUAGUUGGUAGGGUAAAAGCCUACCAAGGCGACGAUCCAUAGCUGGUCUGAGAGGAUGAUCAGCCACACUGGGACUGAGACACGGCCCAGACUCCUGCGGGAGGCAGCAGUGGGGAAUAUUGGACAAUGGGCGAAAGCCUGAUCCAGCAAUGCCGCGUGAGUGAUGAAGGCCUUAGGGUUGUAAAGCUCUUUUACCCGGGAUGAUAAUGACAGUACCGGGAGAAGAAGCUCCGGCUAACUCCGU